UGAAAAGACAGUUCAAUAUAAAUAUAAUAAUGCAACCUGAAUCCAUCUAAUACCCUAAAUCUAAUUCCCUAAACCCUAAAGUUCAAGCUUGAAUGAUAUUCUAAAUACUAUAUAACGUCUUUUUCUGAUUUUAAACCCAACAUUUAAACUUAAACUUUAAAUCUAAUUUUUAAAACUCCAUUCAAAUCUUAAAUGUAAACCUUAAAUUCGCCAUCAAAUUCUAUGCCCUAAAUCCUAACUUCAAACAUAAGCCAUUCAUCCACUAAAUAUAUACUUCCAAUCUAAAUUUUUAGAAUUUAACAAACUUGAAAUCUGAAUCUUAAUCACAAAUUCCUUUACAUACAACUCUAAACCUUAUACUUUCAUAACUCUAAACCUCUAAAUCAUAAUGAACUAUAUUUAGUAAAAACAACAGUGCUAUAUCAUAAACAU
RNAcentral lists this long non-coding RNA (432 nucleotides) under Brassica napus (rape). RNAcentral describes it as "long non-coding RNA (BNAP_LNC021859)". Lineage: Eukaryota; Viridiplantae; Streptophyta; Magnoliopsida; Brassicales; Brassicaceae. The record is from RNAcentral.